RNAcentral lists this ribosomal RNA (253 nucleotides) under uncultured bacterium. RNAcentral describes it as "partial 16S ribosomal RNA". It matches the Rfam family "Bacterial small subunit ribosomal RNA", at positions 524 to 776 of the family's 1533-position model. The record is from RNAcentral.
UACAGGGGGGGCAAGCGUUGUUCGGAAUUACUGGGCGUAAAGGGCUCGUAGGCGGCCAACUAAGUCAGACGUGAAAUCCCUCGGCUUAACCGGGGAACUGCGUCUGAUACUGGAUGGCUUGAGUUUGGGAGAGGGACGCGGAAUUCCAGGUGUAGCGGUGAAAUGCGUAGAUAUCUGGAGGAACACCGGUGGCGAAGGCGGCGUCCUGGACCAACACUGACACUGAUGAGCGAAAGCCAGGGGAGCAAACGGG